UACGGAAGGCAGCAGUGGGGAAUUUUGGACAAUGGGCGAAAGCCUGAUCCAGCAAUGCCGCGUGCAGGAUGAAGGCCCUCGGGUUGUAAACUGCUUUUGUACGGAACGAAAAGCCUGGGGCUAAUACCCCGGGUCAUGACGGUACCGUAAGAAUAAGCACCGGCUAACUACGUGCCAGCAGCCGCGGUAAUACGUAGGGUGCAAGCGUUAAUCGGAAUUACUGGGCGUAAAGCGUGCGCAGGCGGUUUUUGUAAGACAGUGGUGAAAUCCCCGGGCUCAACCUGGGAACUGCCAUUGUGACUGCAAAGCUAGAGUGCGGCAGAGGGGGAUGGAAUUCCGCGUGUAGCAGUGAAAUGCGUAGAUAUGCGGAGGAACACCGAUGGCGAAGGCAAUCCCCUGGGGCCUGCACUGACGCUCAUGCACGAAAGCGUGGGGAGCAAACAGGAUUAGGAUAACC
Molecule: ribosomal RNA, 457 nt
Filed under: uncultured bacterium
Lineage: Bacteria
Description: bacterial SSU rRNA
Rfam family: Bacterial small subunit ribosomal RNA
Source: RNAcentral